UACGUAGGGGGCAAGCGUUGUCCGGAUUUAUUGGGCGUAAAGAGCGUGUAGGCGGCCAGACAGGUCCGUUGUGAAAACUCGAGGCUCAACCUCGAGAUGUCGAUGGAAACCGUCUGGCUAGAGUCCGGAAGAGGAGUGUGGAAUUCCCAGUGUAGUGGUGAAAUACGUAGAGAUUGGGAAGAACACCAGUGGCGAAGGCGGCUAUCUGGACGGUUACUGACGCUAAGACGCGAAAGCGUGGGGAGCAAACAGG
RNAcentral lists this ribosomal RNA (253 nucleotides) under uncultured bacterium. RNAcentral describes it as "partial 16S ribosomal RNA". It matches the Rfam family "Bacterial small subunit ribosomal RNA", at positions 524 to 776 of the family's 1533-position model. The record is from RNAcentral.